GCUGGGUGUGGUGGCGUGUGCCUGUAAUCCCAGCUACUUUGGAGGUUGAGGCAGGAGAAUCACUUGAACCUGGGAGGCAGAGGUUGCAGUGAGCCAAGAUCAUGACACUGCACUCCAGCCUGGGUGAAAAAAAAAAAAAAAAGAAUUCUUUUUUUUUUUUUUUUUUGAGACGGAGUCUCGCUAUGUCGCCCAGGGUGGAGUGCAGUGGCCGGAUCUCAGCUCACUGCAAGCUCCACCUCCCGGGUUUUUACGCCAUUCUCCUGCCUCAG
This 269-nucleotide signal recognition particle RNA is filed under the name Macaca mulatta (Rhesus monkey). Its description in RNAcentral is "Metazoan signal recognition particle RNA (ENSMMUG00000059381.1)". It matches the Rfam family "Metazoan signal recognition particle RNA". Rfam says of the family: The signal recognition particle (SRP) is a universally conserved ribonucleoprotein. It is involved in the co-translational targeting of proteins to membranes. The eukaryotic SRP consists of a 300-nucleotide 7S RNA and six proteins: SRPs 72, 68, 54, 19, 14, and 9. The record is from Rfam by way of RNAcentral. Lineage: Eukaryota; Metazoa; Chordata; Mammalia; Primates; Cercopithecidae.